RNAcentral lists this long non-coding RNA (512 nucleotides) under Pan troglodytes (chimpanzee). RNAcentral describes it as "long non-coding RNA NONPTRT017863". Lineage: Eukaryota; Metazoa; Chordata; Mammalia; Primates; Hominidae. The record is from RNAcentral.
GGAGGCUGCUGGAGCCGCCGGGCAGCUUCUCGGCGACUCCACGCGUGAAUGCAGAGAUGCUGCAGGGAGGCAGCGCUCACAAAAGCAGCUCCGCUCACAAAAAUACGGCCACACCGAGCAGACGUCUGCUUUGACACCACUCGACCCUGCCAAAAAGAGCAAUUAAUGGGACCAGAAGGGCGGGAGGUGGGAGGGAAGGCGGGGAGUGGGCGAUGAGCAGAGCCUGGCUUUCUAUCCCAGGACAGCGUGGUGUUCUCAAGGGAAUUUAGCCAAACAUUUCGUCCUAACCUCAACAACAGGUCCUCGUGAGUCCUCAUACAACCUAUCCUUAGGCGGUAACAGGCUGCAGCUGUUGAAGUCUAAUUUCACUCUAUUGAUUGCCAUGUAAGACAUGCCUGUGCCUGCUUCCCCUUCGCCUUCUGCCAUGACUGAAAGUUUCCUAAGGCCUCCUCAGAAGCCGAGCAGAUGCCAGCAUCACGCUUCCUCUAAAGCCUGUGGAACCAUGAGCCAAG